UACGUAUGGUGCAAGCGUUAUCCGGAUUUACUGGGCGUAAAGGGAGCGCAGGCGGCGCGCCAAGUCUGAUGUGAAACCCCGGGGCUCAACCCCGGGCAUGCAUUGGAAACUGGCGGGCUGGAGUGCCGGAGAGGAGAGUGGAAUUCCAUGUGUAGCGGUGAAAUGCGUAGAUAUAUGGAGGAACACCGGUGGCGAAAGCGGCUCUCUGGCCUGUAACUGACACUGAGGCUCGAAAGCGUGGGGAGCAAACAGG
RNAcentral lists this ribosomal RNA (253 nucleotides) under uncultured bacterium. RNAcentral describes it as "partial 16S ribosomal RNA". It matches the Rfam family "Bacterial small subunit ribosomal RNA", at positions 524 to 776 of the family's 1533-position model. The record is from RNAcentral.